AUUGAACGCUGGCGGCAGGCCUAACACAUGCAAGUCGCACGAGUGGCGGACGGGUGAGUAAUGUCUUGGAAACUGCCUGAUGGAGGGGGCUAACUACUGGAAACGGUAGCUCAUACCGCAUACCAUCGGAUGUGCCCAGAUGGGAUUAGCUAGUAGGUGGGGUAACGGCUCACCUAGGCCACGAUCCCUAGCUGGUCUGAGAGGAUGACCAGCAACACGGGAACUGAGAAACGGGACAGACUCCUACGGGAGGCAGCAGUGGGGAAUAUGGCACAAUGGGCGCAAGCAUGAUGCAGACAUGCCGCGUGUAUGAAGAAGGCCUUCGGGUUGGAAAGUACUUUCAGCGGGGAGGCGUUACCCGCAGAAGAAGCACCGGCUAACUCCGUGCCAGCAGCCGCGGUAAUAC
This 406-nucleotide ribosomal RNA is filed under the name uncultured bacterium. Its description in RNAcentral is "partial 16S ribosomal RNA". It matches the Rfam family "Bacterial small subunit ribosomal RNA", at positions 30 to 526 of the family's 1533-position model. The record is from RNAcentral.